UACGGGGGGGGCAAGCGUUGUUCGGAAUUACUGGGCGUAAAGGGCUUGUAGGUGGCCAACUAAGUCAGACGUGAAAUCCCUCGGCUUAACCGGGGAACUGCGUCUGAUACUGGAUGGCUUGAGUGCGGAAGAGGGAAGCGGAAUUUCCGGUGUAGCGGUGAAAUGCGUAGAUAUCGGAAGGAACAUCAGUGGCGAAAGCGGCUUCCUGGUCCAGCACCGACGUUCAGGCACGAAAGCGUGGGGAGCAAACAGG
RNAcentral lists this ribosomal RNA (253 nucleotides) under uncultured bacterium. RNAcentral's name for it is "partial 16S ribosomal RNA". It matches the Rfam family "Bacterial small subunit ribosomal RNA", at positions 524 to 776 of the family's 1533-position model. The record is from RNAcentral.